AGUCGAACGGGGCAUCUUAUUUCGGUAAGAUGCCAAGUGGCGAACGGGUGAGUAACACGUGGGCAACCUGCCCUUCAGACGGGGACAACAUUCCGAAAGGAGUGCUAAUACCGGAUACGCCCGCACCUACGCAUGUAGGUGCGGGGAAAGGAUGGCCUCUAUUUAUAAGCUAUCGCUGAAGGAUGGGCCUGCGUCCGAUUAGCUAGUUGGUGAGGUAACGGCCCACCAAGGCGAUGAUCGGUAGCCGGUCUGAGAGGAUGAACGGCCACAUUGGGACUGAGACACGGCCCAGACUCCUACGGGAGGCAGCAGUGGGGAAUCUUCCACAAUGGACGAAAGUCUGAUGGAGCAACGCCGCGUGAGCGAUGAAGGAUUUCGGUCUGUAAAACUCUGUUGUUCAUGACGAACGUUUCCUAGGUGAAUAAUCUAGGGGAGUGACGGUAGUGAACGAGGAAGCCACGGCUAACUACGUGCCAGCAGCCGCGGUAAUACGUAGGUGGCGAGCGUUGUCCGGAAUUAUUGGGCGUAAAGAGCAUGUAGGCGGCUUUUUAAGUCGGGCGUGAAAAUGCGGGGCUUAACCCCGUAUGGCGUUCGAAACUGGAGGGCUUGAGUGCAGGAGAGGA
This 623-nucleotide ribosomal RNA is filed under the name uncultured bacterium. RNAcentral describes it as "bacterial SSU rRNA". It matches the Rfam family "Bacterial small subunit ribosomal RNA", at positions 60 to 658 of the family's 1533-position model. The record is from RNAcentral.